Molecule: transfer RNA, 73 nt
Filed under: Trichonephila inaurata madagascariensis
Lineage: Eukaryota; Metazoa; Arthropoda; Arachnida; Araneae; Nephilidae
Rfam family: tRNA
About the family: Transfer RNA (tRNA) molecules are approximately 80 nucleotides in length.
Source: Rfam by way of RNAcentral
GUCCCCAUAGCGCAAUGGAUAGCGCAUUGGACUUCUAAUCCAAAGGUCGUGGGAUCGAAUCCCGCUUGGGAAG